GCCCGGUUAGCUCAAUGGUAGAGCGUGAGGCUUUUAACCUCAAGGCUACGGGUUCGACCCCCGUAUCGGGCU
This is a transfer RNA of Smittium culicis, 72 nucleotides long. It matches the Rfam family "tRNA". From Rfam's summary of the family: Transfer RNA (tRNA) molecules are approximately 80 nucleotides in length. The record is from Rfam. NCBI's taxonomy places the organism in Eukaryota, Fungi, Kickxellomycota, Harpellomycetes, Harpellales, Legeriomycetaceae.